CUCAACUCCCCGUAGGAAAGCAUUGAAAAGCCACGCAUGCGCGUUAGGUCUCUGCGGCCAGCGGGAUCAGUCUCGCCCACCUGCCAACGUAAUGGAGAGGAGGAGCGACGGCAACCCGAAACCACCGCCGAGGGACAUCGGCGGGGGUCUCAGGUAAGUGACUGAAGGGGUUUUCACCCCUUCAGCAACUGGGGAUUGGGAGGUGGGAGGGAGAGGGGAC
Non-coding RNA from Pelobates cultripes (western spadefoot toad), 220 nucleotides. NCBI's taxonomy places the organism in Eukaryota, Metazoa, Chordata, Amphibia, Anura, Pelobatidae. The record is from the annotation of a GenBank genome assembly.